AGCAGCCGCGGUAAUUCCAGCUCCAAUAGCGUAUAUUAAAGUUGUUGCAGUUAAAAAGCUCGUAGUUGAAUUUCGGGAUUGACACAUCGGUCGUGCCUUAAGGGGUAUGAACUGGUGUAGUCAAUUUCUCACCUUCUGGAGAACCGCGAUGCCCUUAAUUGGGUGUCGCGGGGAACCAGGACCUUUACUUUGAAAAAUUAGAGUGUUUAAAGCAGGCAUUUUGCUUGAAUACACUAGCAUGGAAUAAUAAAAUAGGACGGCAUGAUUCUAUUUUGUUGGUUUCUAGGAUCACCGUAAUGAUUAAUAGGGAUAGUUGGGGGCAUUAGUAUUCAAUUGUCAGAGGUGAAAUUCUUGGAUUUAUUGAAGACUAACUACUGCGAAAGCAUUUGCCAAGGAUGUUUUCAUUAAUCAAGAACGAAAGUUAGGGGAUCGAAGACGAUCAGAUACCGUCGUAGUCUUAACCAUAAACUAUGCCGACUAGGAAUCAGAC
Molecule: unclassified non-coding RNA, 490 nt
Filed under: uncultured Glomus
Lineage: Eukaryota; Fungi; Glomeromycota; Glomeromycetes; Glomerales; Glomeraceae
Description: SSU rRNA
Rfam family: Eukaryotic small subunit ribosomal RNA
Source: RNAcentral